This 301-nucleotide ribosomal RNA is filed under the name uncultured bacterium. RNAcentral's name for it is "partial 16S ribosomal RNA". It matches the Rfam family "Bacterial small subunit ribosomal RNA", at positions 509 to 809 of the family's 1533-position model. The record is from RNAcentral.
CAGCAGCCACGGUAACACGUAGGUGGCAAGCGUUAUUCGGAAUGAUUGGGCGUAAAGCGUCUGUAGGUGGCUUUUCAAGUCCACCGUCAAAUCCCCGGGCUCAACCCUGGACAAGCAGUGGAAACUACCAAGCUGGAGUACGGUAGGGGUAGAGGGAAUUUCCGGUGGAGCGGUGAAAUGCGUUGAGAUCGGAAAGAACACCAACGACGAAAGCACUCUGCUGGGCCGACACUGACACUGAGAGACGAAAGCUAGGGGAGCAAAUGGGAUUAGAUACCCCUGUAGUCCCUGUCUCUUAUAA